GGUCCUAAGGUAGCGAAAUUCCUUGUCGGGUAAGUUCCGACCUGCACGAAUGGUGUAACGAUUUGAGUACUGUCUCAACCAGAGACUCGGCGAAAUUGCAAUGUGAGUAAAGAUGCUCACUAUGCGCGACAGGACGGAAAGACCCCGGAACCUUUACUGCAACUUGAUAUUGAAGUUUGGUGUGCAGUAUGCAGGAUAAGUGGGAGACUAUGAAAUAGCGGCGCUAGUCGUUAUGGAGUCAUCCUUGAGAUACCACUUUCUUCAUAUUGAGCUUCUAACCUAGAUCCGUUAUCCGGAUCAGGGACAUUGUCUGGUGGGCAGUUUCACUGGGGCGGUGGCCUCCUAAAAAGUAACGGAGGCGCUCUAAGGUCACCUCAGCGUGGACGGCAAUCACGCAUCGAGUGUAAGUGCAAAAGGUGGCUUGACUGUGACACAAACAAGUGGAGCAGGUACGAAAGUAGGAACUAGUGAUCCCAUGGUUGCAUGUGGGUGCGCCAUGGCUCAUCGGCUAAAAGGUACUCCGGGGAUAACAGGCUUAUACCCCCCAAGAGUCCAUAUCGACGGGGGUGUUUGGCACCUCGAUGUCGGCUCUUCUCAUCCUGGGGCUGGAGCAGGUCCCAAGGGUUAGGCUGUUCGCCUAUUAAAGAGGAACGCGAGCUGGGUUCAGAACGUCGUGAGACAGUUCGGUCCCUAUCCGUCGCGCACGCAAGAGUUUUGAAGAAAGUUGUCCCUAGUACGAGAGGACCGGGAUGAACAUACCACUGGUGUGCCAGUUGUCCUGCCAAGGGCACGGCUGGUUAGCUACGUUCGGAAAGGAUAAGCGCUGAAAGCAUCUAAGUGCGAAGCCCCUUCUAAGAUAAGAACUCUCACCGGAUUAACCGGGUAAGACUCCUUAUAGAACAUGAGGUUGAUAGGUCAGAAGUGUAAGUACAGUAAUGUAUUCAGCUGACUGAUACUAAUAAGUCGAGGGCUUGAACUG
This 979-nucleotide ribosomal RNA is filed under the name marine metagenome. Its description in RNAcentral is "bacterial LSU rRNA". It matches the Rfam family "Bacterial large subunit ribosomal RNA", at positions 1947 to 2925 of the family's 2925-position model. The record is from RNAcentral.